AUUGAACGCUGGCGGCAGGCCUAACACAUGCAAGUCGAACGGUAGCACAGAGAGCUUGCUCUCGGGUGACGAGUGGCGGACGGGUGAGUAACGUCUGGGAAACUGCCCGAUGGAGGGGGAUAACUACUGGAAACGGUAGCUAAUACCGCAUAACGUCGCAAGACCAAAGUGGGGGACCUUCGGGCCUCACACCAUCGGAUGUGCCCAGAUGGGAUUAGCUAGUAGGUGGGGUAAUGGCUCACCUAGGCGACGAUCCCUAGCUGGUCUGAGAGGAUGACCAGACACACUGGAACUGAGACGCGGUCCAGACUCCUACGGGAGGCAGCAGUGGGGAAUAUUGCACAAUGGGCGCAAGCCUGAUGCAGCCAUGCCGCGUGUAUGAAGAAGGCCUUCGGGUUGUAAAGUACUUUCAGCGGGGAGGAAGGCGGUGAAGUUAAUAGCUUAACCGAUUGACGUUACCCGCAGAAGAAGCACCGGCUAACUCCGUGCCAGCCGCCGCGGUAA
This 504-nucleotide ribosomal RNA is filed under the name uncultured bacterium. Its description in RNAcentral is "partial 16S ribosomal RNA". It matches the Rfam family "Bacterial small subunit ribosomal RNA", at positions 29 to 523 of the family's 1533-position model. The record is from RNAcentral.